AUUGAACGCUGGCGGCAGGCCUAACACAUGCAAGUCGAGCGAGCGGCGGACGGGUGAGUAAUGUCUGGGAAACUGCCUGAUGGAGGGGGAUAACUACUGGAAACGGUAUCUAAAACCGCAUACCCUCAGCUUUGCCCAGAGGGGAUUAGCUCGUAGGUGGGGUAACGGCUCACCGCGGCGACGAUCCCUAGCUGGUCUGGGCGGAUGACCCGCCAUACUGGAACGGAGACACGGUCCAGACUCCUACGGUAGGCAGCAGUGGGGAAUAGGGCACAAUGGGCGCAAGCCUGAUGCAGCCAGGCCGCGUGUGUGAAGAAGGCCUUCGGGUUGUAAAGCACUUGCAGCGGGGAGGCGUUACCCGCAGAAGAAGCACCGGCUAACUCCGUGCCAGCAGCCGCGGUAAUAC
This 406-nucleotide ribosomal RNA is filed under the name uncultured bacterium. RNAcentral's name for it is "partial 16S ribosomal RNA". It matches the Rfam family "Bacterial small subunit ribosomal RNA", at positions 29 to 526 of the family's 1533-position model. The record is from RNAcentral.